GGGCUUACCAUCGCGCGCGGUAUCCCCUAUAUUGGCGAUGUCUUCGGACUAUGGCGAUAAACGCGCGUGUAAUAAGCGGCUCGGACCCGGGGGCGGUACCCGGCGGCUCCACCAAAAGCAGAUCAGCAAUGGUCUGUUUCUGACGGGGCCGAAAUAGUGUCGACGGACGUGUAAAGACGAGGCUUUCGCUCGCUUGAGCUGCGUUAGAAGCUCAAAAGCAAAUAGUUGCAAAUGACAACUUUGCUGAGGGCGAAUUGCUCGCCGCGUAAGCGGUGACGGUUUUUCCGACCUAAGUCCUGGGGCUUCAGACCCCUAGGCGGGGCCCGGGGGCGCCUGGCAACAGAAGCCCCCACC
Molecule: non-coding RNA, 354 nt
Organism: Hyphomonas neptunium ATCC 15444
Lineage: Bacteria; Pseudomonadati; Pseudomonadota; Alphaproteobacteria; Hyphomonadales; Hyphomonadaceae
Rfam family: Alphaproteobacteria transfer-messenger RNA
About the family: Bacterial tmRNA, also known as 10Sa RNA or SsrA, is named for its dual tRNA and mRNA-like properties.
Source: Rfam